RNAcentral lists this ribosomal RNA (473 nucleotides) under uncultured bacterium. Its description in RNAcentral is "bacterial SSU rRNA". It matches the Rfam family "Bacterial small subunit ribosomal RNA", at positions 355 to 825 of the family's 1533-position model. The record is from RNAcentral.
UGGGGAAUUGUUCACAAUGGGCGCAAGCCUGAUGACGCAACGCCGCGUGGGGGAUGAAGGUCUUCGGAUUGUAAACCCCUGUCGAAUGGGACGAAAGACUCGCGAGUUAAUACUUCGCGGGAGUGACGGUACCGUUAAAGGAAGCCACGGCUAACUCUGUGCCAGCAGCCGCGGUAAUACAGAGGUGGCAAGCGUUGUUCGGAUUUACUGGGCGUAAAGGGCGCGUAGGCGGCGUGACAAGUCACUUGUGAAAUCUCCGGGCUUAACUCGGAACGGUCAAGUGAUACUGUUGUGCUAGAGUGCAGAAAGGGUAACUGGAAUUCUUGGUGUAGCGGUGAAAUGCGUAGAUAUCAAGAGGAACACCAGAGGCGAAGGCGAGUUACUGGGCUGACACUGACGCUGAGGCGCGAAAGCUAGGGGAGCGAACGGGAUUAGAUACCCCCGUAGUCCCUGAGCGGGCUGGCAAGGCGCAU